Myzus persicae (green peach aphid) is the source of this 593-nucleotide long non-coding RNA. RefSeq lists it as uncharacterized. The record is from RefSeq and is a predicted model, not a curated record. NCBI's taxonomy places the organism in Eukaryota, Metazoa, Arthropoda, Insecta, Hemiptera, Aphididae. The transcript is spliced from 3 exons.
UUUGACAUCAUCAUAUUUGUAUUUACAAAUUAAUAUUCAAAUUACUUUAUUUACUAGGUUUUAUCAACAAAAUAAGUGUGUGUGUGUAUAUAAUAUCAAUAUAUAUAUUAUACACUCGCAGUUCGGAUAUCAUGAAAACCAACAGAUAAUACAAUUUCAUCUCUGGCCGCGGACUUUGUCCGGUGUACAUAAUUUACCUACAAGCCGACAAUAAUAAGACGUAGAAACCUGUUGCACGAGACACGGCGAGCGCGGUCUUUAUACCGCCAUACCAGCUCACCAGAACAGCGCCAUAGUAAAUUCGGUUCAGGAGUUUGUCCCACGUGCGCGUUGGCCGGCAAAACAGCAUGGACCAUGAGGCAGCAGAGGUACCAGCGAUGCACCUACACGCACGCACGAUAAUGUCACGCCGUUGCCUUACCAGUUACCACCCAUUCUUUUCGCGGGGGCAGACACACAGACAAGUUCAAUUAAUAAUGUCUUACAAUAAUAUCUACUUAUAGGUGCAUCAUGCGUCUUGAUAUUUGUAUACUAUAUUAGAAAACUGGUAUUAGAAAAAGAGCUUAGAUAUAGUAUAAUAAUUUGCACAUGCA